Molecule: transfer RNA, 72 nt
Filed under: Phrynosoma platyrhinos (Desert horned lizard)
Lineage: Eukaryota; Metazoa; Chordata; Lepidosauria; Squamata; Phrynosomatidae
Description: tRNA-OTHER
Source: RNAcentral
GCCAGUGUGACACAGUGGUUUGAGUGUUGGACAAUGACUUUGGAGACCAGGGUUCGAUUCCCAGCUCAAUCA